Aedes albopictus (Asian tiger mosquito) is the source of this 3682-nucleotide RNA transcript. It is a transcript of the gene named serine protease grass, with no coding region annotated. The record is from RefSeq and is a predicted model, not a curated record. The transcript is spliced from 5 exons. NCBI's taxonomy places the organism in Eukaryota, Metazoa, Arthropoda, Insecta, Diptera, Culicidae.
CAACUAAAUGAGCUCAAAUUUUGGAAGCCGGUACAGAAAACGAUCUGAACCGCCUUGCUGAUAAAUCGUAUGUACAAAUUAAAAGAUGAAUUAUAUCGUUCGUUAAAGACUGAUGUCUAGAAUGGGAACGCAGGGGAGUGUGCAACUCCAAUGCAUAUGCAAUGCACCCCGGUAUCACGAAGAGAAUAAAAAAUACAAAUUUCCGCAGGUGAGGUAGGAGCUUAAUUGGUAUCGUCUAUUCUCACACGUCAAGCAGUCAUAGAGGCCGGGGUUCCCACAAAGGUUGCAUUACACAUCUUACGUUUGAACAGAUCACUAGCGAAACUUCUACCGGCUAUCGAGUGUAUACGAUGGCGACAUUAGUUUUGCUAAAUUUAUUACUACUAUUUAUAUGGAUUACGGAUGCUGCAGACGUACCAUGUUCAACGCCGGAUCAGCUCACCGGAAGUUGCGUUCCACUGGAAAAGUGUUCCAACCUUUACCUCACGAAGCAACUGUACAAAAAGCUAUCGAUCUCUGAAGAGAAUUACAUUCGUAAUGCCACAUGCCGACUUGAAGAUUCGACGAUGGGAAUCUGCUGUGCCACUGAAAAGAUCUUCGAACUACCGGACGAAUGUGGCGUUGCCUCAUCUAGCCGUAUUGCCCACGGUAACAGGACGGAGGUGUUCGAGUUCCCAUGGAUGGCGUUGUUGAUGUACCGCAGCCGGGACAGUGAUGAGCUGCAGGGCAAUUGUGGUGGGUCAUUGAUUAGUGAACGAUACGUGGUUACGGCGGCACAUUGUCUGACGAAGGCAUCCAGCGAUCGCAGCCGGAGUAAAUUGGAGUUUGUGCGGCUUGGAGAGCACACGAUCAGCACUAAUCCAGAUUGCAAUAACUUUACGGAACUGAGUGGUAAUUUCGAACAGGAUUGUGCGGGGCCUGUAGAAGACGUCGGUUAUGAGUCAUUCUUAAUUUAUAAAGAUUAUAAUGGCACUUUUGGAGGGGACGACAUAGGUCUGGUUCGAUUGGCAGAGCGGAUCGUCUUCAAACCUCACAUCAAGCCAAUAUGCCUUCCCAUGAAUGCGGAACUGAAGGAUACUCUGCUGCCGCAAUACUUCGUAGCAGGUUGGGGCUACACGGACUCUCUGGACAAAUCGGAUGUCCUUCAGAAAGCUUUGCUGCCUCGAGUUGACCUGGACCAGUGCCAGGCACGGUUCAAACCCUACCGCAAGAAGUACAACAUCACCAUCAGUGAAAAGCAAAUUUGCGCCGGGGCUGUGAAUCUGGUCGAUGCCUGUGCCGGAGAUUCCGGUGGACCGUUGAUGUGGCAGACGGACUAUAAGGCGGCGGGGUCACCCCGGUACGUGCUGUUCGGAGUGGUGUCCUUCGGAGUGCAAACAUGUGGGACGAUGGACUUUCCUGGGGUGUAUAUGCGCAUUGGAGCAUAUUUAGAAUGGAUACUGGAGAAUAUGGAAGCAUGAUCGGAAUUUGAAGCAUCUAUUGGUUAUUGGAAAAAAGGCUAUUUAAUAAAGAUUUUUGCUAUUCGAAAUUUCGACAUGUGUUGCCGUUACAAAGACGAUGCCUAUAAUGGAACCAGUAGAGUUUUCACCAGAAUGCUGCUUCUAGCUUUAAAUCACCUCAUGUCCGUCCGUCAAGAAGCUCCCAUCCCGUCCUAUAGAAAGAUUGAUGUUUCUCGCUUAAUGGUUUAUUGAAGAAUGACUUACUGGCUAACAACUACAGCUAUUUAUACUGUCAAACGAGAUUAUUCUACUGUUACUUUGAUUAGCAACUGCUACUACGAUUGGCAACCUUUGUUACUUCAACACGUCCAUAUCUCUGAACAUGAACUUUUCUUAUGAGAACGGCAAUCAAUUCCUUUCCUUAAAAUUCCAGGCGGCUUUUGUCAGCUCGAAAGCGGCGGGUCUGCUCCUUAUGUUUGUAUCGUUCAACGUUCUGCCAGCUUCCAUGCUGCAGCAUUAUACCGAUCGUGUCGCAUUCUUCUCCUUCAAAAUCGCUCUGUGAAUCAUUCGUUCUGUCGUCCCUGUUCCACGUACCCGAUGGUGCUCUCGACUGUGUCAAUAAUGGCUUCAUUUUAGAAAGCAGUUACUGAGUAAUGAUAUUACACCACAUGCGUGAAACGAUUUUCAAAAUCCUCAAUCAAUAUGCUGAAUGAGAUGUCCAGUAUAUUGUACUUCGGGAACAGUGGCGUAGCUAGGAAUUUGGGAAACCGGUGCGGAACCAAAUUUGUGGGCCCCCAUGAAAAUUACAAAUGUAAAUACUUUACAAUGAUAAGUCUAUCCUGCUAACUCUCAAAUGAUCACGCCGUAUAUUGUAUUUUGUACAAAACGUUGAAAAAAAUCUCGACUUUCGAACUCAACAUUUGCGUGAUGCUGGCGGUGGUGGCCAACUGACUGAUGGAAGGUUAAACAUUAUUUCUAUUCUUUUAUGAAUUUCUUCGGGGAUUUCUGGAAGGAUCCAUCCCGGAGUUCCAUCAAUGAGCAUAUGAUUAUUUUCUAAGAAUAAUGUCGAAUUUAUUAAGAAAUUUCAUCAAGUAAUCCCUGAGGAAGUCCUUCAAAGAUUGCUUUACCGUUUUCUUAAAAAAAAACCCUUUCUGAAUAACAAUGUGUCUUCAAGAAUCUUAAAAGUGUUUAACGCAAGCGUAUCAUUCAGCAUUUCGCUAAACACUCCAUCAGGUAUUCUUACAGUGUUGUCUCCGAGCAUUUUUUCAAAAGUACUUUGGAGUACUUUGAAAGAUUCAUGCACAGGCUUUAUCAAGUAUUUCUCGAAACAUUUGAUCAGCAAUUCAAUAAUAUCUCUGAGCAUUCAUCUAUAAGAUCAAAGAAUUCUUAAGAAAUUCUAGAAAAACCACUACAAAAGUUUUUCAAUGAUUUUUUUGGAACCAGAUAGGGUAAAUGUACCAAUAGUGGUGCUAUUAGUAGCUCCUUGUAGUAAAAUAAUUGAAUAAAGUUGAUAGCACCACAAAAUAAAAAGUCUGAAAACGUUAAUCGGUAGUUUUUCAUCAAAAUUUGCUAGGAAAAAUGUAAAAACCAUUGUUUCUUUCAGUUUUUGCUAAUAAAUCACUUGCACCAACUAUAGGUACACGGUUCCUAUUAUGGAGGUAAAAUUUAACAUUGGUUCCUAUAGUGGCGCAUCCCAUUGAAUUCUUAUGGGACCCACCACUAUAGGAACACUACCUCCACUAUAGGUGCAAAGGAGCAAAAAAAUUAAGGAAAAUAAUUGUUUAAAAUAGGUUUUUCGGCAAAUCCUGAACACAAAACUGAAUUAAUGUUAUUAAUGAGUUAUGAUGCAUCUAUUAAAAAUGUCAUUUGCAAGCUUUUUGGUCGAAAUAGUGCUAAAUUGGCUAUACCACCACUAUUGGUACUACCUCCACUAAGGGAGCUUUUACCCUAUUUUUCCAAGAAAUUACGUCGGAAUUCCGUCAGAGGAAGAGAAGUCCUUCUAGAAGCAUUCCUCCAUGGUUUCUUUCAGGAGAACCCAACCGACAACUCCGCGUUGCUAGCCUUUUGUGGAUUCCCGGACAUAGAACUGAUUAUGGACGUAAUAAUCCUCUGGACAAGUUUUGUGAAUUAUUUAAUGCUGUUUAUGACGAAUUUGAUUUUAAUGUUAGUAGAAUAGAGUUUAAAAAUAGGAUUAAGUAUCGGUCUGUGUAGUUUUUUUUUUUCUAACUAAAGACGGCAAAUAA